UCUCCGUUGGUGAACCAGCGGAGGGAUCAUUACCGAGUUUACAACUCCCAAACCCCUGUGAACAUACCAUUUGUUGCCUCGGCGGUGCCUGCUUCGGCAGCCCGCCAGAGGACCCAAACCCUUGAUUUUAUACAGUAUCUUCUGAGUAAAUGAUUAAAUAAAUCAAAACUUUCAGCAACGGAUCUCUUGGUUCUG
Molecule: unclassified non-coding RNA, 195 nt
Filed under: plant metagenome
Description: partial contains small subunit ribosomal RNA, internal transcribed spacer 1, and 5.8S ribosomal RNA
Source: RNAcentral